UACGUAGGCAGCAAGCGUUGUUCGGAGUUACUGGGCGUAAAGGGUGCGUAGGCGGCUUUUUAAGUUUGGUGUGAAAUCUCCCGGCUCAACUGGGAGGGUGCGCCGAAUACUGAGAGGCUAGAGUGUGGGAGAGGAAAGUGGAAUUCCUGGUGUAGCGGUGAAAAUGCGUAGAUAUCAGGAGGAACACCGGUGGUGUAAACGGCUUUCUGGACCAUAACUGACGCUGAGGCACGAAAGCGUGGGUAGCAAAACAGG
RNAcentral lists this ribosomal RNA (255 nucleotides) under uncultured bacterium. RNAcentral describes it as "partial 16S ribosomal RNA". It matches the Rfam family "Bacterial small subunit ribosomal RNA", at positions 524 to 776 of the family's 1533-position model. The record is from RNAcentral.